Molecule: ribosomal RNA, 537 nt
Filed under: Celleporaria brunnea
Lineage: Eukaryota; Metazoa; Bryozoa; Gymnolaemata; Cheilostomatida; Lepraliellidae
Description: SSU rRNA
Rfam family: Eukaryotic small subunit ribosomal RNA
Source: RNAcentral
AUGCAUGUCUAAGUACAAGCCGUGUACACGGCGAGACUGCGGACGGCUCAUUAAAUCGGUUAUGACUCCACUGGGGACAGACUCACCCGUGGAUAACGUGCGGUAACUCCGGUGCUAAUACAUGCAACAAGGCUCCGACCCCGUCCUCGCGGCGGGGGAAGGGCGCACUUAUUAGGCGAAAACCAAUCGCCCGCUCGCGCGGGCGUUGGUGGACGACACCCGAGUAAUUGCCGCCGAUCGCACGGCCCUCGAGCCGGCGACACCUUCACUGAGUUUCUGAUCUAUCAUGCUGACGACGGUUGGUGCUAUGCCAACCGUGGCGUUAACGGAUAACAGAGAAUCUGGGUUCGAUUCUGGAGAGGCCGCAUGAGAAACGGCGACCACUUCCAAGGAAGGCAGCAGGCACGCAAAUUACCCACUUCGGACACCGAGAGGUAGUGACGAACAAUACCGAUGCGGCGCACUAACGUGUCGCCGUAAUCGGAAUGAGUACACUUCAAAUCCUUUAACGAGGAUCCACUGGAGGGCAAGCCUGGU